This 405-nucleotide ribosomal RNA is filed under the name uncultured bacterium. RNAcentral describes it as "bacterial SSU rRNA". It matches the Rfam family "Bacterial small subunit ribosomal RNA", at positions 30 to 433 of the family's 1533-position model. The record is from RNAcentral.
AUUGAACGCUGGCGGCAGGCCUAACACAUGCAAGUCGAGCGGUAGAGAGGUGCUUGCGAUCUCUUGAGAGCGGCGGACGGGUGAGUAAUGCCUAGGAAUCUGCCUAGUGUGGGGGAUAACGUUCGGAAACGGACGCUAAUACCGCAUACGGUCCUACGGGAGAAAGCGGGGGAUCUUCGGACCUCGCGCCAUUAGAUGAGCCUAGGUCGGAUUAGCUAGUUGGUGAGGUAAUGGCUCACCAAGGCGACGAUCCGUAACUGGUCUGAGAGGAUGAUCAGUCACACUGGAACUGAGACACGGUCCAGACUCCUACGGGAGGCAGCAGUGGGGAAUAUUGGACAAUGGGCGAAAGCCUGAUCCAGCCAUGCCGCGUGUGUAGAAGAAGGUNUUCGGAUUGUAAAGCAC